This 374-nucleotide ribosomal RNA is filed under the name uncultured organism. Its description in RNAcentral is "partial 16S ribosomal RNA". It matches the Rfam family "Bacterial small subunit ribosomal RNA", at positions 527 to 896 of the family's 1533-position model. The record is from RNAcentral.
GUAGGUGGCAAGCGUUGUCCGGAAUUAUUGGGCGUAAAGCGCGCGCAGGCGGUCCUUUAAGUCUGAUGUGAAAGCCCACGGCUCAACCGUGGAGGGUCAUUGGAAACUGGGGGACUUGAGUACAGAAGAGGAAAGCGGAAUUCCAAGUGUAGCGGUGAAAUGCGUAGAGAUUUGGAGGAACACCAGUGGCGAAGGCGGCUUUCUGGUCUGUAACUGACGCUGAGGCGCGAAAGCGUGGGGAGCAAACAGGGAUUAGAUACCCUGGUAGUCCACGCCGUAAACGAUGAGUGCUAAGUGUUAGGGGGUUUCCCGCCCCUUAGUGCUGCAGCUAACGCAUUUAGCACUCCGCCUGGGGGAGUACGGCCGCAAGGCUG